GGCCGCAGUAUAUUAACUGUGCAAAGGUAGCAUAAUCAUUAGUCUUUUAAUUGAAGGCUUGUAUGAAUGGUUGAACGAAAUAUUAACUGUUUCAUAAAAAUUUAUAUUAGAAUUUUAUUUUUUAGUUAAAAAGCUAAAAUUUAUUUAAAAGACGAGAAGACCCUAUAAAUCUUUAUAUUUAAUUUUAUUAUAAAUUUUUAGAUUUUUUUUAUAUAAUAAUUAAUAAUAUUUUAUUGGGGUGAUAUUAAAAUUUGUUAAACUUUUAUUUUAUUAUUACAUUGAUUUAUGAAUAAUUGAUCUUUUAUUAAUGAUUAAAAAAUUAAGUUACUUUAGGGAUAACAGCGUAAUUUUUUUGGAGAGUUCUUAUCAAUAAAAAAGAUUGCGACCUCGAUGUUGGAUU
RNAcentral lists this ribosomal RNA (400 nucleotides) under Nemorilla floralis. RNAcentral's name for it is "partial 16S rRNA". Lineage: Eukaryota; Metazoa; Arthropoda; Insecta; Diptera; Tachinidae. The record is from RNAcentral.